CCUACGGGGGGCAGCAGUGGGGAAUAUUGCACAAUGGGGGAAACCCUGAUGCAGCGACGCCGCGUGAGCGAAGAAGUAUUUCGGUAUGUAAAGCUCUAUCAGCAGGGAAGAAAAUGACGGUACCUGAGUAAGAAGCUCCGGCUAAAUACGUGCCAGCAGCCGCGGUAAUACGUAUGGAGCAAGCGUUAUCCGGAUUUACUGGGUGUAAAGGGAGCGCAGGCGGAUCUUUAAGUCAGCGGUCAAAUCGUGGGGCUCAACCCCAUCCAGCCGUUGAAACUGGGGAUCUAGAGUGUGCGAGAGGUAUG
RNAcentral lists this ribosomal RNA (305 nucleotides) under uncultured bacterium. RNAcentral describes it as "bacterial SSU rRNA". It matches the Rfam family "Bacterial small subunit ribosomal RNA", at positions 338 to 661 of the family's 1533-position model. The record is from RNAcentral.